RNAcentral lists this microRNA (21 nucleotides) under Melibe leonina. RNAcentral's name for it is "mle-miR-1990-3p". Lineage: Eukaryota; Metazoa; Mollusca; Gastropoda; Nudibranchia; Dendronotidae. The record is from miRBase by way of RNAcentral.
CGGGACUACUUCAACUACUUG